This 27-nucleotide non-coding RNA is filed under the name Rattus norvegicus (Norway rat). Lineage: Eukaryota; Metazoa; Chordata; Mammalia; Rodentia; Muridae. The record is from RNAcentral.
UCUUAGUUGAACUAGGGUUGCAUCAUG